Molecule: long non-coding RNA, 2704 nt
Organism: Cyprinus carpio carpio
Lineage: Eukaryota; Metazoa; Chordata; Actinopteri; Cypriniformes; Cyprinidae
Source: Ensembl
AAAACAUUUUACAGUUAUAAUAUAUAGGCUAUCAUUGUCCAUCAUUUUUUUUUUUUUUAAAUUACAAUUACAGAGAAAUUCUUAUGGUCAUAUUUAUUUUGAUUUUACAUAACUUUGUCAUUUUAAACUAUGGUUUCCCUUGUAAACUUUUCUAAGAGUAAUAUUACCUGAGUAUUCAUCAUAUUUGAUUUGAUUUCUGGGAGCAGAUUACACAUACAACUCUACAUGCAACACAAUUAUCAUGGAAUAAUGUCAAGCCUUACAAUACACCACUGCGCAGGUGACAAAAGUUUUUAUUUUUUUAUGAAGUUAAGAUAUGAAUUAUUUUCAGUACAGGUUGCGUCAUAUUUCUUUCUCUGUGCGUGCUCUGCUGUGUUUACUUGUACGCCAACUAACGACCCAACAACUGCAAAAAACAAACAGCAGUACGAUGGCCGACUCCCGCGCGCGGCAGGAAUACCUGACAUUCGUUUGUUCCGUCGCCGUCGCUCCGAGCAACAGAGGCCAAUUACUGCAGCAGCCGCAUGACCUUUAGCAUGCAGAUGAGCCGCGCAGCGCACGCGCUUAUGUGUGUGUGGCCGGUAAAUAUUAACGGGAACGGAAGAGUGGAGCCAUAAUGACGCACAGAUCGUUAGAGACUCGUUAGGGAGCACGAGACGGAGGAUAUUAAAGAGCAGUUAAGAGCAAAACGCACAUACACACCUUUCUACAGGACUGGCACACACACACUUCACCAGUCUAACGUACUCCUAUAAUGCCUGCAUAUAGGCUACCUUUGUCUAACUCACACAUAAACACGUGAGAGUAAUGCAAAGAUCUAUCUAACAGACACACAUAUCUGACAUGCAACAACAUAAUUCAUGUGUCUAACACACACACACACCUGCCUUCUAUGGAUAAAAACACUAAAACUGUCUGACACACAAACACAUUCAUCCUACUAGCACAUAUAGACACUUUACCUGUCUAACACGCACCUCACAAUUUACUUAUCUGACAUAAACAAACUUCCCUGUCUAUCACACACGCUUUAUCUGUCUAAGGCGCACAUAUACCCACAAUUCACCUGUCCAACAUGCAUGCAAACACACACACACUGAGCGUCGCAAGUUCUGAGCGCUGCGCUGCCGGGGUCUUUCAGCACGCUGGCAUUAGUAUUCACAGACAGCGCUUCCCUUCAGUGCCUGAAUUAAUUUUCCACCAUGCGUAUGUGUGUGCGUGUAUCACAUCACAGAAAGUGCGAGACCGCGGCAGAGAGAGAGCGAUAGACAGUGUGUGGUGAUCUCCCCGAAUCUCAAGCCUCUUUUCCUGUUAUUUUAUUGCGAUUUAAAUACUUCACUUGUCUAAUGCAUGUAAUCUGACUAAUCAGUGCAGGAAAUUGCCCACAGUCUGUUUCUAAAGAGGAAACCGUUCUGUUUCGAACCUGCCACAGAGAGAGACAGGCUUCCGACGGAAAGCAGCGUGCACGAAGAACGAAGAUUGAGCGUGUGUGCGCGUGACCGAAGUUGAAUAUCUUUGAUAUAAUGAGCACUGCUAUGCAAGAACUAGUCACUGGAGGCACCAAAGUUUGCGAGGAUGACAGCAUGUCACCCAACCUACCCAUCUGGUUAAUUCUGCCAAGCAAAAGAUGAAACCGCACCAAAAAUACUGCAGAGAUUGAUUCAGUGCACGACUUUUGACAUGAACAACAAGAUAAGAGUGGUGUAUCUAUGGCCUCUAGCAGGGGAUAAGUGGGCCAUGCUAACCAGCUAAUCCCUGACCCCUACAGGUCAGCACAGUGAUGUCAUGAACUGAUUCCAGAUCAGAUGCAACUGGCUGUGGGAAGGACUGACUGCAGGUCAGCGUGGAAAAAUAGGAAGGUUCGGGGGAAUAAACUUAAACUGGUGCAAUCCCACAGACGUCCUGGGUGAGUUUAUUCCCUUAAGCGCAGUGUGGAAAAUUUGCGUGUCAAGCUGUGUUUUCCAGCACAUGAAUCCACACACACACACAGUUUAAUCCUGCGCAGUGGGGAUUGCCGUCUGGAGAUUGUACCGCGUCCAAGACUGAGUCGCCGCUUGCUGACCUUCUCACACACACUUCUAUACAUCCGUUCUAAGGCGGUGUGUGUGCAGCGUACAGCUUUGAUCCCCAGCUGAAGGGUACUUACAGGCCAAAUUUCCAAAUGCGUAAGAGUCAGCCCUCCCACUGGAGAGAGAGCGAGAGAGACAGAAUGAAUUCUUACACGGCUCUGGGAAUUGGGUCUCGGCGGCAGGAGCUAUUAAUAUAUCGCUGCGGCCCCCGAGAGAGAGACGGCGAGGUAGACAGAAAGACAAUCAGAUAAAGCCAGCGAUAGAAAGAGAGAGAAACAGAGAGGAAGAGAAACUGAGAGACAGACAGGUAGUUCAGACAGAGAAAAAGAGUGGUAGAAAGAUAGACAGGCAAAGAGAUACCAAACAGAUAGAGUGAAAGAAUGAUUACAGAAGGAUAGACAGAGACAUAGACACAGAGAGAGAAAGACCUAUACUGUCCACCACAGUGAUCCUUAGUAUGUCUGUGUGUUUCUAUGUAAGUUAAAGAUGUUAUAAUGUGUUACAGUUUAAUACUUCUAAGAUGUUACAAUAUUCCAUUCUAUUACUGUGAUGUUCAUUUAAAUAUUAUUAUUGUUAUAUUAUUAUUUUUAUCUUUUUGUACAUGUAUACUUAGAUGCAAAGAAAGCAAUAGAAAC